AGAGUUUGAUUAUGGCUCAGGAUGAACGCUGGCGGCGUGCCUAACACAUGCAAGUCGAGCGAUCUCUUCGGAGAGAGCGGCGGACGGGUGAGUAACGCGUGGGUAACCUGCCCUGUACACACGGAUAACAUACCGAAAGGUAUACUAAUACGGGAUAACAUAUGAAAGUCGCAUGGCUUUUAUAUCAAAGCUCCGGCGGUACAGGAUGGACCCGCGUCUGAUUAGCUAGUUGGUAAGGUAAUGGCUUACCAAGGCAACGAUCAGUAGCCGACCUGAGAGGGUGAUCGGCCACACUGGAACUGAGACACGGUCCAGACUCCUACGGGAGGCAGCAGUGGGGAAUAUUGCACAAUGGGCGAAAGCCUGAUGCAGCAACGCCGCGUGAGCGAUGAAGGCCUUCGGGUCGUAAAGCUCUGUCCUCAAGGAAGAUAAUGACGGUACUUGAGGAGGAAGCCCCGGCUAACUACGUGCCAGCAGCCGCGGUAAUACGUAGGGGGCUAGCGUUAUCCGGAAUUACUGGGCGUAAAGGGUGCGUAGGUGGUUUUUUAAGUCAGAAGUGAAAGGCUACGGCUCAACCGUAGUAAGCUUUUGAAACUAGAGAACUUGAGUGCAGGAGAGGAGAGUAGAAUUCCUAGUGUAGCGGUGAAAUGCGUAGAUAUUAGGAGGAAUACUAGUAGCGAAGGUGGCUCUCUGGACUGUAACUGACACUGAGGCACGAAAGCGUGGGGAGCAAACAGGAUUAGAUACCCUGGUAGUCCACGCCGUAAACGAUGAGUACUAGGUGUCGGGGGUUACUCCUCUCGGUGCUGCAGCUAACGCAUUAAGUACUCUCGCCUGGGAAGUACGCUCGCAAGAGUGGAACUCAAAUGAAUUGACGGGGA
This 881-nucleotide ribosomal RNA is filed under the name uncultured Bacillota bacterium. Its description in RNAcentral is "bacterial SSU rRNA". It matches the Rfam family "Bacterial small subunit ribosomal RNA", at positions 8 to 919 of the family's 1533-position model. The record is from RNAcentral. Lineage: Bacteria; Bacillati; Bacillota.